Molecule: ribosomal RNA, 503 nt
Filed under: uncultured bacterium
Lineage: Bacteria
Description: partial 16S ribosomal RNA
Rfam family: Bacterial small subunit ribosomal RNA
Source: RNAcentral
AUUGAACGCUGGCGGCAGGCUUAACACAUGCAAGUCGAGCGGAGUGAUGGUGCUUGCACUAUCACUUAGCGGCGGACGGGUGAGUAGUGCUUAGGAAUCUGCCUAUUAGUGGGGGACAACGUCUCGAAAGGGAUGCUAAUACCGCAUACGUCCUACGGGAGAAAGCAGGGGAUCACUUGUGACCUUGCGCUAAUAGAUGAGCCUAAGUCGGAUUAGCUAGUUGGUGGGGUAAAGGCCUACCAAGGCGACGAUCUGUAGCGGGUCUGAGAGGAUGAUCCGCCACACUGGGACUGAGACACGGCCCAGACUCCUACGGGAGGCAGCAGUGGGGAAUAUUGGACAAUGGGGGGAACCCUGAUCCAGCCAUGCCGCGUGUGUGAAGAAGGCCUUAUGGUUGUAAAGCACUUUAAGCGAGGAGGAGGCUCUUUUGGUUAAUACCCAAGAUGAGUGGACGUUACUCGCAGAAUAAGCACCGGCUAACUCUGUGCCAGCAGCCGCCGUAA